CCUACGGGGGACAGCAGUAGGGAAUCUUUCACAAUGGGCGAAAGCCUGAUGGAGCAACGCCGCGUGCAGGAUGAAGGCCUUCGGGUUGUAAACUGCUUUUAUAAGCGAGAAAUAUGAUGGUAACUUAUGAAUAAGGAUCGGCUAACUACGUGCCAGCAGCCGCGGUCAUACGUAGGAUCCGAGCAUUAUCCGGAGUGACUGGGUGUAAAGAGUUGCGUAGGUGGCAUAAUAAGUAGCUAGUGAAAUCUGGUGGCUCAACCAUUCAGACUAUUAGCUAAACUGUUAAGCUCGAGACCGUUAGGGGUAACUGGAAUUUCUAGUGUAGGAGUGAAAUCCGUAGAUAUUAGGAGGAACACCAAUAGCGUAGGCAGGUUGCUGGGACGGUUCUGACACUAAGGCACGAAAGCGUAGGGAGCAAACGGGAUUAGAUACCCUUGUAGUC
RNAcentral lists this ribosomal RNA (442 nucleotides) under uncultured bacterium. RNAcentral's name for it is "partial 16S ribosomal RNA". It matches the Rfam family "Bacterial small subunit ribosomal RNA", at positions 338 to 795 of the family's 1533-position model. The record is from RNAcentral.